GGGGUAUCGGAGGGUUCAGGUACGCCAAGUCUCUCAACGGAAGGGCGCGUGAGUGGCAAUCGGGCAGUUGGUGCUGUCUGGCUCCGUGAUCAUGGUCAUCGAACUUUCAGGCCACAACCCUCCUCAUGUUCGCCGUGGGUCAUUUCGUCCGCGGCGUUCAAUUAUGGUUCUUGUGUUGGCUACCCGUCAAGUGGUAUUCAUGUGCCUCUUUUGACCCGUUCCGUCCAGACCCCUUGUAGGGUCGCUGGAGGAUUCGAAAGUGACCCGUGUGAUGUGUUAGCUGUGCAUUGCGCAAUGGCUUGCUUCCUCACACGUGUCUAGUGUUCCCUCGAAUGCGGUGCAUGCGGCAAACGUGGGCUGGCAAGUCUGCCCCGUUAAGUCCCUUCAAUUUAUCGGUUCCCUUGAAUGACACUUUGCCGUUGUGUCGGGCUUGCUUAACCAUUCGUGGUGGCAACACUUGCACGUCAAGCAAAGUCGUUAAUG
This 483-nucleotide unclassified non-coding RNA is filed under the name Lupinus microcarpus var. microcarpus. Its description in RNAcentral is "partial external transcribed spacer". The record is from RNAcentral. Lineage: Eukaryota; Viridiplantae; Streptophyta; Magnoliopsida; Fabales; Fabaceae.